AAUAAGUGUAGUUUUACACUAUUUAUGUUUAACGUUUGACCGUUCAUCUUAUUUGAAAUUUUUUUACGAUUAAUAUUUUUAUUGUUACUAGAUGAUAAAACAUGAAUAGUACUUUAUGUGUGACUAACUUUUUUUUAAUUUUCUCAUAAAUUUUUCAAAUAAGACGGACGGUCAAACUUUGGACACAGAUUCCCACGACUGCACUUAUU
RNAcentral lists this microRNA precursor (209 nucleotides) under Oryza sativa Japonica Group (Japanese rice). RNAcentral's name for it is "MIR812 microRNA precursor family". It matches the Rfam family "MIR812 microRNA precursor family". The record is from Rfam by way of RNAcentral. Lineage: Eukaryota; Viridiplantae; Streptophyta; Magnoliopsida; Poales; Poaceae.